AGAAAAGGGAAGAAAAAAGAAGAAGAUGGGCAAGUUGUACAAGUAGCAUCAGCAGCCCAGACUACUAAAACUGAGGAAAGAGAAGAAAGCGUUGACAUUUCUAAUAAAGUUUAUGUCGGAGGUAUUCCUUAUUAUUCCACUAAGGAUGAUAUUAGGAGCUACUUUGAAGGUUGUGGCACCAUUAUGGAGGUUGAUUGUAUGAAUUUCCCUGACAGCGGAAAGUUUAGAGGAAUUGCCAUUAUCACUUUUAAGACUGAAGCAGCCGCUAAGAGAGCCAUGGCACUGGAUGGUUCUGAUAUGGGUGGACUAUUCCUGAAAAUCCAGUCAUACAAGUCCGCUAAAGCUAACAAAGUGUCCAACUUCUCACCAAACAUGGUCGAAGGGUAUAAUAGGGUAUACGUGGGUAACUUAUCAUGGAAUGUAACAGAGGAUGACUUGAAGAAAGUUUUUUCAGAUUGCAGCAUAAGUUCUAUCCGAUUCGGUGAAGAUAAAGAAACAGGAGAAUUUCGAGGUUAUGCCCAUGUGG
Molecule: unclassified non-coding RNA, 526 nt
Filed under: Hevea brasiliensis (rubber tree)
Lineage: Eukaryota; Viridiplantae; Streptophyta; Magnoliopsida; Malpighiales; Euphorbiaceae
Source: RNAcentral